Molecule: long non-coding RNA, 562 nt
Organism: Symphalangus syndactylus (siamang)
Lineage: Eukaryota; Metazoa; Chordata; Mammalia; Primates; Hylobatidae
Source: RefSeq, a predicted model, not a curated record
GAACACAUGGAGGUGCGGGGAGGGUGGUGAGCCCAGCGAGGAUGUGGAUCCCCAACGGCCCUUCCCACAUACCUCAUUCUUUCAUUUGGCUGUUUCUGAGUUAUGUGCUUUAUAAUCAGCUGACAAUGGUACUACUUAGAAUACAUGAAGAGGAAAAAGGGGGCUCCUCUCUACUUAAAACACAACUCUUCACCGUGAAUUGUGAAAAGUAAAACAAGUCCUAUGUCCCUUCCUCUUAAAUUUGGGCAGAAUUUGUGACUUCUUUGUCCAACAAAAUAUUGCAGAAGUGAUGCUGUACCAGACUGAAAAAGAGUGGCAAUUUCUAGCUGUGGUAUCUUGGAUCCAAAGAAUCAAUGACCAUGUACAACAGACCCAGUCAAGUUCCCAGGAAACAGCCAGCACCAGCCAUGUUGGUAAGAUAUCCUGAAAACAGAUGCUUCAGCCCACUUGAGCCACCACAGCUCACACCACCUGGAGCACAGUCAAGCCUUUUCUGCUGAGCCCUGCCCAAACAGCAGAUUUGUGAACCAAAUAAAUAAUUGCCAUUGUUUUAAGCCGAUAA